RNAcentral lists this ribosomal RNA (255 nucleotides) under uncultured bacterium. Its description in RNAcentral is "partial 16S ribosomal RNA". It matches the Rfam family "Bacterial small subunit ribosomal RNA", at positions 524 to 776 of the family's 1533-position model. The record is from RNAcentral.
UACGAAGGGGGGCUAGCGUUACUCGGAUUGACUGGGCGUAAAGGGCGCGUAGGCGGAUGGUACAGUCAGACGUGAAAUUCCUGGGCUCAACCUGGGGGCUGCGUUUGAUACGUGCUGUCUGGAGUUCGGAAGAGGGUCGUGGAAUUCCCAGUGUAGAGGUGAAAUUCGUAGAUAUUGGGGAAGAACACCGGUGGCGAAGGCGGCGACCUGGUCCGAUACUGACGCUGAGGCGCGAAAGCGUGGGGAGCAAACAGG